Molecule: long non-coding RNA, 2005 nt
Filed under: Homo sapiens (human)
Lineage: Eukaryota; Metazoa; Chordata; Mammalia; Primates; Hominidae
Description: HSALNT0385281
Source: RNAcentral
AGCAUGCGCAGUGGCCUCGCUGGGGGAUCCCGUAGAGGUUUGGCGUGUGGCCUGCGGGUUCCCCGGGCGGGUCGACGUGCGCUCCUCUCUGGUCUCGAGUCACCAGGACCAGAUCGAGGAUGCGGCCGACCCCCUGCCCGAUGUGGAAAGCGAAGUCUCCACCUCGUGAUUGGGUCUCUGCUGUCAGAGAGCUUCACGAGCUUGAGGGGAAACAGACAGAGAGGUCUGGGCAUUGGGCAGUUUCCCGCCUCCCAGCCCCGCGCACUGAACAGACUGUGACCAGAACUGCGAACAAAGCGCGGAGGGAAGCUCUUAAAGGAGGCCAAAGCGGCCGGGCGCUGUGGCUCACACCUGUAACCCCAGCCUGUAAGCCUAGCUACUCGGGAGGCCGAGGCAGAAGGAGCGCUUGAAGCCAGGAGUUGGAAGCUGCAGUAAUCCGUGAUCGGACCGUUGCACUCUAGCCUGGGCAACAUAACGUCCUUUGAAAAAAAAAAAAAAAACAGAGGCCAAAACGGGUAGCAGUGGUGCCCGGGCACCAAGGAUGGAAGGCCUCUCUGAGGAGGUGAUGCCGAGCUGAAGCUGGGAAGCGGAUGUGAGGGAAGAGUUCCAGGCAGAGGGAAGGCAAAUGCAGAGAUCCUCAGGCAGGAACACUGAACUGUUCUCCGUAUUUGAGGAGCAGAGGGCGUGUCAGUGGUGGCCGCAGCAGCUGAGCAAAGGUCUUAGAAUCCCAGCUAAUGUCGUGGGACCUAGCACCCAAUCCCAAAAGAAAGAAGAAUAGAUAGGAACCCACUGUUGACAAGAAGGUGCACUGAGAAGUGUUUUUAUCUGACCCGAUCUGCAUCCAGUUUAGAAGCCGAUACAUCAGGGAUUUAACAAUCUGUCUUAAUGUCUAGCAAGGGGGGUUGCUGGAGGGAAAACACAGAGUCAGAGUUCUAUCUUCAGCCCUGCCAGCAGGUCCCUGGGAGAUGCUAGACGAGUGACUUUUCUCUGGGCGUGGUUGGUGUAAGGGAUGCACACGCAGGAGGAAGGUCGGAGUGUAAAUGUGUGACCUGGGCCUGUUACUGGGUAUAAAUGGGCCUGUAGUGACCGGGAGCUCAUGUUCUACCAAAGGGGUUGCCAAUUUUCUGAUUUCGAGUGUGGCGGUGUAAAAGAGAAAAGCAACUGCUGCCAGCUGGGAGCUGGUUUGCACCCUCACUCCAGAAGCCUUGAUGUUGCUAGGAGCUGACCUGGCACCAACAGCACGGCCAUGGUGGUGUCCUGUUGAGCAAAAUAAUUUCACAAAAAACAUCAGACAAGGUCACUCUCUGACUGAUCUAGAAAAAGACCAUUCCAUAAUAAAGCCUCAAUACAGAAACAAGAACAUUGUCCAAACCACAAAAAUUACCAACACAAUCCUCUCUCCCACAGCGCUGGAGUGCAGUGAUGCAAUCUUGGCUUACCACAACCUCCACCUCCAGGUUCAAGCGAUUCUCCUGCCUCAGCUUCCAGAGUAUCUGGGAUUACAGGCACCCACCAUCAUGCCCAGAUCAUUUCUGUAUUUUUAGUAGAGACGGGGAUUCACCAAGUUGCCCAGGUGCUUCCUGGUGGUCCUUGGUUGGAGGGUACUAUCAGAAAUGGAGGAGCAACAAAGAUUCAGCUGAAGCCCUCACUGCCUGGGACUGGGACCCUUGACUCGUCAUUGUAUGCACACCUGAAACUGCUUAUGUCGCUGAGGUGCCAACCUGCUGAUGGUUGGAAGCUAAUUGAGUUCUGAUAUUGUGUUGAUACCCUUAAGCAUUGGGUUUACUUUUUAUUUUAAUUAAUUAAUUAAUUAAUUUUUGAGACAGAGUUUCACUCUUGUUGCCCAGGCUGAAGUGCAAUGACACGAUCUCGGCUCACCGCAACCUCCGCCUCCUGGGUUCAAGCAGUUCUUCUGCCUCAGCCUCUUGAGUAGCUGGGAUUACAGGCAUGCACCACCACACCUGGCUAAUUUUAUAUUUGUAGUAGAGACAGUUUCUCCAUGUUU